AUUGAACGCUGGCGGCAGGCCUAACACAUGCAAGUCGAGCGAGCGGCGGACGGGUGAGUAAUGUCUGGGAAACUGCCUGAUAGAGGGGGAUAACUACUGGAAACGGUAGCUAAUACCGCAUACCAUCAGAUGUGCCCAGAUGGGAUUAGCUAGUAGGUGGGGUAACGGCUCACCUAGGCGACGAUCCCUAGCUGGUCUGAGAGGAUGACCAGCCACACUGGAACUGAGACACGGCCCAGACUCCUACGGUAGGCAGCAGUGGGGAAUAUUGCACAAUGGGCGCAAGCCUGAUGCAGCCAUGCCGCGUGUAUGAAGAAGGCCCUCGGGUUGUAAAGUACUUUCAGUGGGGAGGCGUUACCGACAGAAGAAGCACCGGCUAACUCCGUGCCAGCAGCCGCGGUAAUUC
Molecule: ribosomal RNA, 406 nt
Filed under: uncultured bacterium
Lineage: Bacteria
Description: partial 16S ribosomal RNA
Rfam family: Bacterial small subunit ribosomal RNA
Source: RNAcentral